GGCAGCUCCCGGAACUUGAGGUAGUCCAUGGCGCGGGUGCACACCAGCGGCUUCUGGGGGUAGUACAGCACAAAGCCCUGCAGGCGUGCGGGGAGGUGGAGAGGGAUAUGAGGGGAGGGGAAUUCAGGAUGGCCAGUGUGUCGGCGGCAGGGAAAGAGGGCCUUGCUCAGCCAGCCCGCCGUGCCCCCCCGUUUACGUGUGUUCCUAUGCCUGCCCCCCCCCUCACCUGCGUGUCCAUGCGCGUCUGGUAGUUGGUGGCGUACAUGCCCAUGGCCUGCUUGCCCAUGGCGGACUGGUAGGUGUUGCGGGGCGACUGGUUGUGGUCGGGGAAGGGGAUGAUGGAGGCGC
RNAcentral lists this long non-coding RNA (348 nucleotides) under Chlamydomonas reinhardtii. RNAcentral's name for it is "long non-coding RNA (CREI_LNC000093)". The record is from RNAcentral. Lineage: Eukaryota; Viridiplantae; Chlorophyta; Chlorophyceae; Chlamydomonadales; Chlamydomonadaceae.